This 500-nucleotide ribosomal RNA is filed under the name uncultured bacterium. Its description in RNAcentral is "partial 16S ribosomal RNA". It matches the Rfam family "Bacterial small subunit ribosomal RNA", at positions 30 to 523 of the family's 1533-position model. The record is from RNAcentral.
AUUGAACGCUGGCGGAAUGCUUUACACAUGCAAGUCGAACGGCAGCACGGACUUCGGUCUGGUGGCGAGUGGCGAACGGGUGAGUAAUGUAUCGGAACGUGCCCAGUCGUGGGGGAUAACGUAGUGAAAAUUACGCUAAUACCGCAUACGAUCUAUGGAUGAAAGCGGGGGAUCGCAAGACCUCGCGCGAUUGGAGCGGCCGAUAUCAGAUUAGGUAGUUGGUGGGGUGGAGGCCCACCAAGCCAACGAUCUGUAGCUGGUCUGAGAGGACGACCAGCCACACUGGAACUGAGACACGGUCCAGACUCCUACGGGAGGCAGCAGUGGGGAAUUUUGGACAAUGGGCGAAAGCCUGAUCCAGCCAUUCCGCGUGCAGGAUGAAGGCCCUCGGGUUGUAAACUGCUUUUGUACAGAACGAAAAGGUUUCUACUAAUACUAGGAGCUCAUGACGGUACUGUAAGAAUAAGCACCGGCUAACUACGUGCCAGCCGCCGCGGUAA